UGGGGGAUAUUGCACAAUGGGCGAAAGCCUGAUGCAGCGACGCCGCGUGGGGGAUGAAGGCUUUCGGGUUGUAAACCUCUUUCGCUAUCGAACAAGGCCCGCUUAGGGUGGGUUGAGGGUAGGUGGAGAAGAAGCGCCGGCUAACUACGUGCCAGCAGCCGCGGUAAUACGUAGGGCGCGAGCGUUGUCCGGAAUUAUUGGGCGGAAAGGGCUUGUAGGCGGCUUGUUGCGCCUGCUGUGAAAACGCGGGGCUUAACUUGGGGCGUGCAGUGGGUACGGGCAGGCUUGAGUGUGGUAGGGGUGACUGGAAUUCCAGGUGUAGCGGUGGAAUGCGCAGAUAUCUGGAGGAACACCGAUGGCGAAGGCAGGUCACUGGGCCAUUACUGACGCUGAGGAGCGAAAGCAUGGGUAGCGAACAGG
RNAcentral lists this ribosomal RNA (420 nucleotides) under bacterium. RNAcentral describes it as "partial 16S ribosomal RNA". It matches the Rfam family "Bacterial small subunit ribosomal RNA", at positions 355 to 776 of the family's 1533-position model. The record is from RNAcentral.